Non-coding RNA from Pelobates cultripes (western spadefoot toad), 74 nucleotides. The record is from the annotation of a GenBank genome assembly. NCBI's taxonomy places the organism in Eukaryota, Metazoa, Chordata, Amphibia, Anura, Pelobatidae.
UAACCCAUUUUUGCUCUAUGCAUAUAUAUAUAUAUAUAUAUAUAUAUAUAUAUGCAUAGAGCAAAAAUGGGUAA